Molecule: long non-coding RNA, 3457 nt
Organism: Dama dama (fallow deer)
Lineage: Eukaryota; Metazoa; Chordata; Mammalia; Artiodactyla; Cervidae
Exons: 3
Source: RefSeq, a predicted model, not a curated record
GGGUAUUCUAAUGAGAAAGGUGAUCUGACAGGGCAAGUUCCAGGUUCUAGCGGAACACUCAGAAUGGGAGCUCACCCAGAUCUGCUAGAGGAUGACUUUGGAAGACGACUUUGAUCUCCCCAGGAAGAACAGAUUUGAUGGAAACAAGACAAGAGGCAAAGGAACCAGUUUGGAGACUGCUUGCGGUAGAAAGUCAGAUGAGAAAUGGUGGUCCCCUAAGUGAGCAAAGCAGUGGUGAGCAUGGAAGAAAGGAGACGGUUGAGAGCAAGGCAUGAGAGAUCUUAGCUCACAAAACAAGGAUUGAACCUGCACCCCCUGCAAUGGAAGGCAAAGUCUGAACCACGGGAACUAUCAGGAAAAUCCUUAAACACCUGUAAAUUUAAAAUGCAUUUCUGUCAGUCACCUAAGAGUGCAUGCAUUUUAGACAAUAUGAUAAUCUCUUUGGAAAUUCAGAAGACAGAAGUUGCAAGUAUGACUUCAUCAGCAACACCUUGAGUUUGGAGAGAUAUCCAUCAAAGGAAUGUGAUCCACGUAUAUAGUGUGAUUCUUGAUUUUACUUGUUUUAUUGACUGCAGAAAGGCCUAUGUCAUUUAUUGCUUUCAUCAUGUAAGACUGCAAUGCUUCUACUAAAGGUAUUUAUCACUGGUCUAUUCUUUUUAUCAAAUGGUGAAAAGACUGUUGAUAGUCAGUUGACUAGGUUUUGUUGAGGAUGACUCAACAAAGAAACAUCUUUUGCUUUGUUUCAUUUUAAUAUCCUUUGAGUUACAUGUGAGUAUUGUGACGUAUGGUUUAUCAGUAUCCUUCUAAUUAACUUUAGAGGCAUAGCAGCAAGGGUAGGUCUCCCCUAACUAUGGUUUUUUGCUGGCAUGUGCCUUUCAUCAGUCCAGCAUCCCUUUAUUUUGCAUUUGCAGUAAUUUUAGAGACAUCUGCCCUCAGAUUCAUGCUAACCAUUCAGUCUCAGGAAACAUGGCUUGAUCUAUGUUACACCGGUUAAACAGAAAAUACUUGCUGGAUUUCAUUCUGCAUUUGAACGAUAUUAUAAGCAAUGAUGGUAUGGAUAACCUGUUGGUAUGUACAGAUAUGCCAGGAGCCACUGGAAAUUCGUGCUUAGUGACCACUGGACUUAUAGAACACAGCAGUAAUUGGCCUCAUCCUUUCAUUCCAAAUCUUAGAGAGGGAAUCUUCUGAAAGAAACCCUUUAAAGGGGUGUUAUCUUUUAAAGAACAUUUUUAUGAUGUGUCAAAAAGAGUAUUUUUAUGGUAAAAUGAAAUCUGGACAUAGAGGAGAUUAAAUGAGUUCCUGAUGAACAGUUGAAAAGUUUGCUUAGAUGUAGGCAGGAACAGGCAUUCCCUAUGUAAUACAACAUGAAACUUCUUCAAAACUCAAUCUUAUCCAAAAUGUUUUCCAUGUAACAUGGCAACUUUUAGCAAUGCUGAAAGUUUCUAUUCAUUGAUAAUGGCAAGAAACCCAGAAAUUUGGGAUUAUUUGAGCUAAGAGUUGAAGUGAGCUGAGCCUGAAAAUACUUCUCCAAGUCAACUACCUGCAAAACUUUUAGCUGUAUUCACUGCUGACAGGUGCCAUAAACACCUGUAUCUUUUGUACCAAUACACAAAAACAAUGCUGUAUAUCUCUUAUGAUUUGGAUGAAGCAAAAGUGUUGUCAAUGACACAAAUUGUGUGUGAAAUGAAAAUAUCUAUCUUCUGUUUUCCUUUUUCAUUCUUGCCUUGGCUGCCUCAAAGUUAGUUCCGGUCGUAAGUAUAGAAUUCCAUCAGAAUCAGCCGCAAUCAUUUAUAUUUACACAGUAUGACUAAAAGUCAUAUUGACAAAAUUCCAGGGUCAAGUCUAAUUUACAAAAGAAAACAAAAGCAGAGAAUACCAAGCAAAACACACAAAAAUACCUGCACCGCCUUUAUCCAACUUAAGCCGCUGACAACAAAUGUGGCGCAGUAGUAUUUCCAACACUCAACAUCUGUGAAGUUGAUUUAUCUUGUAUACUUCUGAGGAAUCUUGUUCAGUAGGAGUGGGAAGGUAAAGCACAUUUUUUAAUGUCAAAAAUGCUCUUGAAUUUUAAUUUUACUUUAUGAAUUAUAACCUCUUACCUUCUACACAUGCAUACAUGUGUAUGUGUAUGUACAGGCACACAUAUUCUGAAAAGGUACAGAAGAUUGCUUCAUGGAAGAAUUUUAGCCUUCCCUUGACCUCUGGUAAUUUCCUUGCUUAGCCCACAGGCAAGCCUGGUUCUGGCAGUCCCUACUGUCUGAUGGAGGAAGGUCCCAAGAAGGCCAUAAUCAGCCAUAGUCGUAGGACUUGUCGUAAGUCACAGUGAAAUAAACAAUAGCACACCCAAGUGCUUACCAAAUCUUGCAAAUAAGGACUCUGGCUUUACUAGCUGUUGCCAAACUUUUCAAUGCCUCUCCUUCACUCCAGGAGGCACCCAGUCAUAAAUUUAUGAAACAAACUUCCUGACCGUUUCCGAAACCAAUUUCUCACCUCUGGUGAAGGACAAUUUGCAAAAGAGCUGUAUUGCUGAUCUCAGAUUAGCCAUGCUUUCUCAGUGGCUCUCACGCCAUUAACUCUGUCUUGUCUCUAAAUGCACAUUAUUCGAGAGCCCCUAAUAGGAAUGUGUCGUUAUAUAUCAUUGGGGAGACAUUCAUUACAUAUCUCUGAAAAUCUGCUUUCUGGAAAUUAACCAAUCAGUCAGUAUUAAGCUCAUGUUCAUGUCAAGCAUUUGAAGCGCAAAGCACUUUACAAUCCCUAUAAUGUAGCUCUUCCAAGUAGAAGGUUUGAACCAUUCUUAGAGGGGACGUGUGAUAUGCUGCCAAAAAGAAGACCAACUCAAGCUCACGUGAUAUUUUAUUCAUGGAAAAAAAAGAACAUACACCUCAACAUUCAGUCUAAUACACAGUAAACGGAACCUUUGCUAGAUCGGCAGCAGCAGCAGAAAUAGAAACUCAGAAAUGCAGGAUCUGGGGCUCUAUCCAAGACCCGCCAGGUCAGAAUCUGUCUUUUAACUAACCUUUCAGGUGAUAUGUAAGAACACUAAGGUUUGAUAAAGAGGUCAUAGGCUAACUUUGACUCAUUCAUGUCUAACCUUUUUAAUAUUUGUGCUAAAUAAUAAAAUGACUGUGGUUUUCCCUGAUGGUUCAGCAGGAAAGAAUCCUUCUGCAAUGCAGGAGACUUGGGUUUGAUCCCUGGGUCAGGAAGAUCUCCUGGAGAAGGAAAUGGCAACCCAUUCCAGUAUUCUUGCCUGGAGAGUUCCAUGGACAGAGGAGCCUGGCCAGCAACCGUCCAUGAGGUUGCAAAGAGUCAGACAUGGCUUAGAGACUAAACAACUACAACAACAAGAAGUUUCAAAACAACAACACUGUUUCAAAAAAUAUUAAAGUUAGAGAAUUAAACUUGAGCUCCAAAAAUUCAUCUAUCACCAUGUUAUAAAAGAUGUGCCUUUUUUACUUUC